GAUGAAGAACGCAGCGAAAUGCGAUACGUAAUGUGAAUUGCAGAAUUCAGUGAAUCAUCGAGUCUUUGAACGCACAUUGCGCCCCCUGGUAUUCCGGGGGGCAUGCCUGUCCGAGCGUCAUUGCUGCCCUCAAGCACGGCUUGUGUGUUGGGCCUCCGUCCUCCUCCCGGGGGACGGGCCCGAAAGGCAGCGGCGGCACCGCGUCCGGUCCUCGAGCGUAUGGGACUUCGUCACCCGCUCUUGUAGGCCCGGCCGGCGCUUGCCGACACAUCAAUCUUUUUUCCAGGUUGACCUCGGAUCAGGUAGGGAUACCCGCUGAACUUAAGCAUAUCAAUAAGCGGAGGA
RNAcentral lists this unclassified non-coding RNA (345 nucleotides) under soil metagenome. RNAcentral describes it as "partial contains 5.8S ribosomal RNA, internal transcribed spacer 2, and large subunit ribosomal RNA". The stretch from base 1 to 120 matches the Rfam family "5.8S ribosomal RNA", at positions 35 to 154 of the family's 154-position model. The record is from RNAcentral.